GACGAACCGUGCGAACGUUGUUCGGAAUCACUGGGCGUAAAGCGCACGUAGGCGGAUCUUUAAGUCAGGGGUGAAAUCCCGAGGCUCAACCUCGGAACUGCCUUUGAUACUGGGGAUCUCGAGUCCGGGAGAGGUGAGUGGAACUGCGAGUGUAGAGGUGAAAUUCGUAGAUAUUCGCAAGAACACCAGUGGCGAAGGCGGCUCACUGGCCCGGAACUGACGCUGAGGUGCGAAAGCGUGGGGAGCAAACAGG
This 253-nucleotide ribosomal RNA is filed under the name uncultured bacterium. Its description in RNAcentral is "partial 16S ribosomal RNA". It matches the Rfam family "Bacterial small subunit ribosomal RNA", at positions 524 to 776 of the family's 1533-position model. The record is from RNAcentral.